Molecule: non-coding RNA, 450 nt
Organism: Schizosaccharomyces pombe (fission yeast)
Lineage: Eukaryota; Fungi; Ascomycota; Schizosaccharomycetes; Schizosaccharomycetales; Schizosaccharomycetaceae
Source: the annotation of a GenBank genome assembly
AGAAUAAAUAAGGGAUAGUGGAUCAUAGUUACCUUGAGAAUGGCUUGAAUGAUUACGAGACCAGUAUUUUUUGGAGGCAAAUAGAAGCCUGGUAGUUAAAUUACCGUAUUGAGGGGUCAGAUCUUCUUCCCAGGCCCGUACGCAUCUUUGCAUAAAAGGAUAUAUACUAUCAUACAACAUUGUUUGAACAAACUUUUUCAUCCCUUCCACUUCUUCUACAGGCAGUAAAGGAUAAAGAGGCAAACACGAUUGUUCGGAUUCGGCCUGAACUUCUAAUGAUGAUCUCCAUUCUGGAAUUGGAAAUUUUCUUAAAUUUUUAGUCACAAAUGUUAUCGGUUUGGCAUCAUCACUAGAUGAACAAAAGCUUUCGCUUUCCAUCGAAUCUCUAGGUGCAUUUUUUAAUGACUGUAUAGAAGACGUAUCAUAUCUGUCAGUAUCUAAAGGUUUCGC